GAGGAAUAUUGGUCAAUGGGCGCAAGCCUGAACCAGCCAUCCCGCGUGAAGGAUGAAUGUACUAUGUAUUGUAAACUUCUUUUCUGGCAGAAGAAAAUCCUGUACGUGUAUGGGUUUGACGGUAUGUCAGGAAUAAGCAUCGGCUAACUCCGUGCCAGCAGCCGCGGUAAUACGGAGGAUGCGAGCGUUAUCCGGAUUCAUUGGGUUUAAAGGGUGCGCAGGCGGCCCCAUAAGUCAGUGGUGAAAUCCUGCCGCUUAACGGUAGAACUGCCAUUGAUACUGUAGGGCUUGAGUACAAUUGAGGUAGGCGGAAUGUGUUGUGUAGCGGUGAAAUGCUUAGAUAUGACACAGAACGCCGAUUGCGAAGGCAGCUUACCAAGCUGUAACUGACGCUGAGGCACGAAAGCGUGGGUAGCGAAC
This 420-nucleotide ribosomal RNA is filed under the name uncultured bacterium. RNAcentral's name for it is "bacterial SSU rRNA". It matches the Rfam family "Bacterial small subunit ribosomal RNA", at positions 356 to 773 of the family's 1533-position model. The record is from RNAcentral.